This 516-nucleotide ribosomal RNA is filed under the name Triticum aestivum (bread wheat). RNAcentral's name for it is "partial small subunit ribosomal RNA". The record is from RNAcentral. Lineage: Eukaryota; Viridiplantae; Streptophyta; Magnoliopsida; Poales; Poaceae.
AUGCAUGAUGUACGGGGAAAAUCUCUUCGUAUUCAGACAUCUAAGGAGCCCGUGGAGAAAACUUUGCUGCAUUUUCGAGCUACUCUGUCUGGGUUCCACUCUGAGGCGUGGUCUCUUGUCUUCUGUUCUUCAUGGGAGGCCAUCAUACUGGGCUUCCAGCACUACAUCCUGGCGCUGGGCACGGCCGUCAUGAUCCCGGCGGUGCUGGUGCCCAUGAUGGGCGGGAGCGACGGAGACAGGGUGAGGGUGGUGCAGACGCUGCUGUUCGUCACCGUCAUCAACACGCUGCUGCAGUCGCUCUUCGGGACGCGGCUGCCCACGGUCAUAGGCGGCUCCUACGCCUUCCUCAUCCCGGUGAUGGCCAUCGUGCAGGACUCGUCGCUCGCGGCCAUACCUGACGACCACGAGAGGUUCCUUCAGAGCAUGCGGGCCAUACAGGGGGCGGUUAUAGUGUCCUCCAGUAUUCAGAUCAUCCUUGGUUACAGCCAGCUCUGGGGUAUUUUCUCCAGCUAUUGA